AGUCGCUGCACUUCCUUUCAGGUCCCUAGGGUCCUGGUCCAGUCAUGGUGGGGAGGCACCUGGUAGAAAAAGACGUCCUUGCGAUCAGUGCCUUCAGUGGCGAACUCCUCCACGAUGCCCUCGGGGCUGAUGCCAUGCUCAGCACACAGCUGUUUCCAGAACUCGAACCCAACUGGGGGAGGGGAAAGAAGCCCAAGUCUGCUGGAGCCUUAAGGCCGGAAAAGCCCAGGCUCAGAGGCUGUUACUUUCAGGAAGGCGACCCAAGACGCCUGGAGGUUGUCACAGCCCAGGUCUGAGGAGGCAGCUCUUGCCUGGAUCAUCAGGCGCAAUAAGGCACAGCUGGAAUUCAGCACAGGCGCAGAGUGAGGCCACGCCCCCUCAUACUGUGGCACCAACCGAACCUCUUCUUGCUUUGCUGGACCUGCAUCUGCACCUGGUAUCAAAUGGUAACUUUUGUCAGUCCCAUGGAUGCUGGUGUGAUUUAUUGUUUCUACUUAUCACAGCGAACUCUGUUGAACUCUCCUACCCAGCUUCCUUUCCUUCUCCUCCUUUCCUCUUUCCUUUGGAAGAAAAUGAGUUCUUUGAGUGCAUUUCAGGGGCAGGCAGCCAGGCACUAACAAGACUCUACCACCUGCCAGUUCUACUUUUGUUAC
Molecule: long non-coding RNA, 653 nt
Organism: Arvicola amphibius (Eurasian water vole)
Lineage: Eukaryota; Metazoa; Chordata; Mammalia; Rodentia; Cricetidae
Exons: 3
Source: RefSeq, a predicted model, not a curated record